ACGGAGGGUGCAAGCGUUAUUCGGAAUAACUGGGCGUAAAGCGCACGCAGACGGUUAGGUAAGUCAGAUUAGAAAUCCCCGGGAUAAACCUGGGGACUGCAAUUGAAACUGUCUGACUAGAGUAUUGUAGAGGGGGGUAGAAUUCCAGGUGUAGCGGUGAAAUGCGUAGAGAUCUGGAGGAAUACCGUUGGCGAAGGCGGCCCCCUGGACAAAGACUGACGCUCAGGUGCGAAAGCGUGGGGAGCAAACAG
RNAcentral lists this ribosomal RNA (251 nucleotides) under uncultured prokaryote. RNAcentral describes it as "partial 16S rRNA". It matches the Rfam family "Bacterial small subunit ribosomal RNA", at positions 525 to 775 of the family's 1533-position model. The record is from RNAcentral.